Molecule: ribosomal RNA, 253 nt
Filed under: uncultured bacterium
Lineage: Bacteria
Description: partial 16S ribosomal RNA
Rfam family: Bacterial small subunit ribosomal RNA
Source: RNAcentral
UACGAGUGCCCCAAGCGUUAUCCGGAAUUAUUGGGCGUAAAGGGUGUGUAGGUGGUUGUGUUAGUCUUCUGUUAAAGCUCCCGGCUCAACCGGGAACAUGCAGAGGAAACGGCACGACUAGAGGAUGUGAGAGGUAAGCGGAACUCAUGGUGUAGGGGUGAAAUCCGUUGAUAUCAUGGGGAACACCAAAAGCGAAGGCAGCUUACUGGCGCAUUCCUGACACUGAAACACGAAAGCGUGGGUAGCGAAUGGG